RNAcentral lists this ribosomal RNA (253 nucleotides) under uncultured bacterium. RNAcentral describes it as "partial 16S ribosomal RNA". It matches the Rfam family "Bacterial small subunit ribosomal RNA", at positions 524 to 776 of the family's 1533-position model. The record is from RNAcentral.
UACGUAGGGUCCGAGCGUUGUCCGGAAUUACUGGGCGUAAAGAGCUCGUAGGUGGUUUGUCGCGUUGUUCGUGAAAACUCACAGCUUAACUGUGGGCGUGCGGGCGAUACGGGCAGACUGGAGUACUGCAGGGGAGACUGGAAUUCCUGGUGUAGCGGUGGAAUGCGCAGAUAUCGUAAGGAAGACCAGUGGCGAAGGCGGGUCUCUGGACAGUUCCUGACGCUGAGACGCGAAAGCGUGGGGAGCGAACAGG